Coturnix japonica (Japanese quail) is the source of this 1663-nucleotide non-coding RNA. The record is from RefSeq and is a predicted model, not a curated record. Lineage: Eukaryota; Metazoa; Chordata; Aves; Galliformes; Phasianidae.
CCUCAGAGCUCAGGGUGAGCGCGGGGCCUUGAAGCGGCUGUAAAGCACUUUAGAACACAUCCAGAUGUUCUAAAUGGGCUAUACCCAAUACAGUCCUCCUACCUUGUCGUCUUCAUGGCUUAAUACUUCCUUUCAUUAGGUCCAGUUGCAGCCCAUGCUGAAGUGCUCCCACAGGCCUUAAACCAUAGGCCUUAAACCUUUAAACCCCAUCUCUUGGCUCUAUAAGACAUUCCUACCCUUAUCACCUCCUUGUGGUGUGAUGUCCGGCUUAUCUCAAAGAACAGCGUGUCAUUAAGGGGGAGGAACAAAACCUUCAGCUACGGAGCAAACUUGUCUGGAACCCAAGUGAGAUUUGGGGUCUGACGGCCGCCUCGCACGUGACAGCUGGGUGCGGAGCUGGGCUGCCUGCUGGCUCUGGGAGAAAGUUGCACGAACGUUUCUUGUCGGCUUCCAUCUGCAAAGCCAGAUUUGAAGAAGAAAAAACUUGCGUCGGGCUGCACAACUCAGGCUUCAAACAACAAACCCAGCCAGCUCUUCUUCUUUAGGCUGACGGUUGGACUUGGUGAGUUUUGCGGUCUUUUCCAAUCUUUGUGAUUCUAUGGCUGUAUAAUUCUAUCAUUCCUGUAGCACUGAGGCUUAUUUGCAUCAAAGUCCCAACUCAAGUGUUGAAGCUUUCAAAGCAGGCGGAGAUUCAGUGUAAUCCUGUCUGUUUCAGCAGCGCUAAAGCCUUAAAAUCUCUCUUUUUUUUUGGACCUGACAGCCUCCAACAAGCCCACCUUCUAAUUACAGCCGCUCUGCUCCAUUCACUCCGCCAUCUGCAGAGCCCAUCUAACCUCAUCAUUUCAGGCUGCCUUUACUCAGCACAGCCUUUCAAGGGGGUCACAGCUCAUUGCCCUGACCCCGCACAGCGCCGUGCUCAGCAUUUCAUGAAUCUAACAUGAUCCCUGGACAGGUGCUGAGCUACAUAACGGCUUGUGGGCUGGCAGGAGGAAAAACAAACUGGGAUUAGAGCUAACACAACUCUCCCAUCGCUGACAGCAAAGUCAUUUAACGAAGCUUAAGGGGAGUUAAUUUCUCCUGACGGAAAAGGCAUGAAUGAAGGAAAAAAAAAAAGCAGACUUUGAGAAGGAAAACAGCUGAGCGGUAAAACAGGUGGGUGGGAUUAGGGCAGAGAAGCUGGAGGCAAAGGUCUGGGCUCCAGAUCAGCCCUCUGCCAAGCAAAGAAACAUGAGCACUCAGUACCCAAGAGGAGUGGGUAAAAGCAGUGGCACAAAGCUGCACUUCCUCCCCAUGCACCCCAGGCUGAUCUGUGCGGUGCCUCCAAUGCAACGUGAGCUCUAAUUCUCCCCCAGAACCACACAGUCAAGGGCUCUCCCCUCUCCUCAGCUGCUGUUUUCCCACAAAUCCUCAGGAAUGCAAUCACAACCUUUAUGCUCCCGCUAUGCAUGGGCCAAACCAGCAGCGAACAAUGGAGCUGCAGACCUGAACCCCCCAGGGCAGCUCUGUGGCACACAUAGGAAAGCUUGCAGGGGCUCACAGCCCUCAGCUCACGCAGGGGCAAUAUUCAGAGCUGAACUCAAGCUAAUCCUGCAGCAACAACACCCCCCAGAGCCCCCGCGUGGCAGCGGGUGCACUGGGACUAAUAAUGAUACGUAUCAGCAUG